ACGAACGCUGGCGGCGCGCCUAACACAUGCAAGUCGAACGAGCGAGAGAGAGCUUGCUUUCUCGAGCGAGUGGCGAACGGGUGAGUAACGCGUGAGGAACCUGCCUCAAAGAGGGGGACAACAGUUGGAAACGACUGCUAAUACCGCAUAAGCCCACGACCCGGCAUCGGGUAGAGGGAAAAGGAGCAAUCCGCUUUGAGAUGGCCUCGCGUCCGAUUAGCUAGUUGGUGAGGUAACGGCCCACCAAGGCGACGAUCGGUAGCCGGACUGAGAGGUUGAACGGCCACAUUGGGACUGAGACACGGCCCAGACUCCUACGGGAGGCAGCAGUGGGGAAUAUUGCACAAUGGGGGAAACCCUGAUGCAGCGACGCCGCGUGGAGGAAGAAGGUCUUCGGAUUGUAAACUCCUGUUGUUGAGGAAGAUAAUGACGGUACUCAACAAGGAAGUGACGGCUAACUACGU
This 464-nucleotide ribosomal RNA is filed under the name uncultured bacterium. RNAcentral describes it as "partial 16S ribosomal RNA". It matches the Rfam family "Bacterial small subunit ribosomal RNA", at positions 29 to 506 of the family's 1533-position model. The record is from RNAcentral.